UAUAACUCCCAAACCCAUGUGAACAUACCUAACGUUGCCUCGGCAGGUCGCACCUACCUUGUAGCACCUUACCCUGUAAGGCCUACCCGGGAGGUGCGGGUAAGCCUGCCGGCGGCCCACCAAACUCUGUUUGAUAUUGAAUUCUGAACCUAUAACUAAAUAAGUUAAAACUUUCAACAACGGAUCUCUUGGUUCUGGCAUCGAUGAAGAACGCAGCGAAAUGCGAUAAGUAAUGUGAAUUGCAGAAUUCAGUGAAUCAUCGAAUCUUUGAACGCAUAUUGCGCCCAUUAGUAUUCUAGUGGGCAGGACCGUUCGAGCGUCAUUUCAACCCUUAAGCCUUCGUUGCUUAGUGUUGGGAGCCUACGGCAACGUAGCUCCUCAAAGUUAGUGGCGGAGUUGGUUCACACUCUAGACGUAGUAAUUUUUUAUCUCGCCUAUUAGUUGGACUAAUCCCCUGCCGUAAAACCCCUAAUUUAUCAAGGUUGACCUCGAAUCGGUUCAGACAAACUCGCUAAAUUGAAGCAUCUUAGUCAGCGAAGGAAAAGAAACCAACAGGGAUUGCCCUAGUAACGGCGAGUGAAGCGGCAACAG
This 591-nucleotide ribosomal RNA is filed under the name fungal endophyte. Its description in RNAcentral is "eukaryotic LSU rRNA". The stretch from base 169 to 322 matches the Rfam family "5.8S ribosomal RNA". The record is from RNAcentral. Lineage: Eukaryota; Fungi.